RNAcentral lists this ribosomal RNA (421 nucleotides) under Streptomyces sp. MBT87. RNAcentral describes it as "bacterial SSU rRNA". It matches the Rfam family "Bacterial small subunit ribosomal RNA", at positions 90 to 527 of the family's 1533-position model. Lineage: Bacteria; Bacillati; Actinomycetota; Actinomycetes; Kitasatosporales; Streptomycetaceae. The record is from RNAcentral.
GGACGACGGCGACGGGUGAGUACACGUGAGCAACCUGCCCCAGCUUUGGGAUAACCCUCGGAAACGGGGGCUAAUACCGAAUAGGACUGCUGGCCGCAUGGCUGGUGGUGGAAAGUUUUUCGGCUUGGGAUGGGCUCGCGGCCUAUCAGCUUGUUGGUGGGGUGAUGGCCUACCAAGGCGACGACGGGUAGCCGGCCUGAGAGGGCGACCGGCCACACUGGGACUGAGACACGGCCCAGACUCCUACGGGAGGCAGCAGUGGGGAAUAUUGCACAAUGGGCGGAAGCCUGAUGCAGCGACGCCGCGUGAGGGAUGACGGCCUUCGGGUUGUAAACCUCUUUCAGCAGGGACGAAGCGAGAGUGACGGUACCUGCAGAAGAAGCACCGGCCAACUACGUGCCAGCAGCCGGAGGGUAAUACG